Long non-coding RNA from Lolium rigidum, 402 nucleotides. RefSeq lists it as uncharacterized. NCBI's taxonomy places the organism in Eukaryota, Viridiplantae, Streptophyta, Magnoliopsida, Poales, Poaceae. The transcript is spliced from 3 exons. The record is from RefSeq and is a predicted model, not a curated record.
CGGUUGGCGGGCUGAACCAUUGAAAAUAGCGCCACGGUGAGUGGCAUUUUGCUUCGGUGACAGGCAGCACGCCGGGUGGUGGCUGCAGGCGGUGUUGCGUGUCUAAUCGCUUCGUGGCGAGCUGAAAAAGGGAAGUAAUUCUAGGUAGAAGCAAAAACCUGGUAGAGAUUAACAACAUGUGGCAGGUUAGCUGAUUUCUGCUGCAGAGCAUGCGUUAGGUGAUCAAUAUCAGUGGCUAAUCAGGGGCAGGAGAUUCAAUCCUUAUUUGUUGCCUGCUGACACGGAGCAGUGGUACAUCAGAAAUUCAUGUAAUGUGAGCAAUUGCUAUUCUUAUCUCGUCCAACUGCUUCCUCCCAGAUAACUAGCCUCAUGCUUUCCAGACUGAUUGUUCAAUAAUAUGGA